GUAACAGGAAAUAAGAAUAAGUAUUAGGAUAUAAGUAUUAGGAUAUUGGGAUAUUAGUUUAUUUUAAAUAAUAGUUUAUUUUAUGUCAUUUUACAUUUUUAUCCUUAGGGUUGUAUUUAAAGGUCUUGUGUCUCAUUUUGACAAUCAAUGAAUGAAUGAAACAUUAUCUUCUUCUCUUAAAAACAACCACUUUGCCACAUGCUUUUUUUAUUAGCCAAGCCAAUUUCUGUUGGAUGACAACUGCAAAAACAUAUAUUAAGCUGAGAGCACUGUUGGAAGCUUGUUGCCAAGUUAACCA
This 298-nucleotide long non-coding RNA is filed under the name Trifolium pratense (red clover). RNAcentral describes it as "long non-coding RNA (TPRA_LNC011784)". The record is from RNAcentral. Lineage: Eukaryota; Viridiplantae; Streptophyta; Magnoliopsida; Fabales; Fabaceae.